CGGGGGAGGCCGGAUCUGGGCUGUGUCCCCGCGCCCUGUGCUCCGGGGCCUGCGCCGUAGGAUUCGGGCUCCUGCCCUGCAGCCCCCU
This 88-nucleotide microRNA precursor is filed under the name Canis lupus dingo (dingo). Its description in RNAcentral is "mir-8799 microRNA precursor family". It matches the Rfam family "mir-8799 microRNA precursor family". Lineage: Eukaryota; Metazoa; Chordata; Mammalia; Carnivora; Canidae. The record is from Rfam by way of RNAcentral.